RNAcentral lists this transfer RNA (76 nucleotides) under Mariprofundaceae bacterium. Its description in RNAcentral is "tRNA-Thr". It matches the Rfam family "tRNA". From Rfam's summary of the family: Transfer RNA (tRNA) molecules are approximately 80 nucleotides in length. Their secondary structure includes four short double-helical elements and three loops (D, anti-codon, and T loops). Lineage: Bacteria; Pseudomonadati; Pseudomonadota; Candidatius Mariprofundia; Mariprofundales; Mariprofundaceae. The record is from RNAcentral.
GCCGAUGUAGCUCAGCUGGUAGAGCAGCUCACUCGUAAUGAGCAGGCCAGCGGUUCGAAUCCGCUCAUCGGCUCCA